UUGCCGGUGCAAGUCCGGUCCGGGUAGCUGUCAGGAGGCCCGGUAGCAGGCUGGCGGCUUGGCCGGGAAACGGGCCAGGUCGAAGCCCAGCGUCGAAAGCCCUUCAAGGGGAAGCAACCGAGCGGUCCGUAACAUCA
This is a non-coding RNA of Kutzneria sp. 744, 137 nucleotides long. NCBI's taxonomy places the organism in Bacteria, Bacillati, Actinomycetota, Actinomycetes, Pseudonocardiales, Pseudonocardiaceae. The record is from Rfam.